CCGUAAUAGUUCAACACCACCUCCAUCUCACCACACGAGCAAUCAGAUGCCUCCACUCCCUCUCAUCCGUUGCCCCGAAUGCAACGCCGGCUACGUCCUGUGGUUCGUCUCCGGGACAGAACUGAACCCAGGGAGGCACUUCUACAAGUGCGAACGGCAUGGGGUAAGUUUUUCGAGACUGUCUCAUUCCAUCUUCUCCGGGGCAUUCUAAUCUUUGUGCAUGCUGCAGCACGGAGGGUGUAGGUUUUGGAAGUGGGAGAACAAGUACAUAUAGUACUUAAGCGAGCGGUGGGGACAUCUUAUCUCGCACGCGUCGGUCCAUCGCCAUGUCGCACUGCUCGAGCAGAACCAGGCAUUCCUGAAGAACAUUUUCAUGCUGUGCCUCGCGAAUUUGGUGGUCAUGGUCACUAUCUGCCUCCACAAA
This 424-nucleotide long non-coding RNA is filed under the name Triticum aestivum (bread wheat). RNAcentral describes it as "long non-coding RNA (TAES_LNC024485)". The record is from RNAcentral. Lineage: Eukaryota; Viridiplantae; Streptophyta; Magnoliopsida; Poales; Poaceae.